CAAGCUCACACUCAAAAUUUUCCCUUGAAGUUUUUCCAAGCUCACCCCUAACUUAGUGUUUCAGCUCACAUCAAAGAGAGUUUUUCUUCCUAGGCUAACUCUCAAACCCUUUCCCAAGUGUUUAAGGCUAUUGACCUAAGAGUCACUUGAUCUCUAUUUUGAUCUUAAUAACCAAAUUGAAUAUUGCUAACUUCUGUUUAAGUGUCUAUAUGACAGUAUAUUUAAAGAUUUCAAAUGGGUCAAAGCUUUUCCAAGCUUUCAAGAAAGUAUUGUAAAAAAUCCAAAAAGCACGAGGGCGCUUUUCACAUGGUCAAAAUUAUACAAGUCGUUGAAAACUCCAUUUGACUACCUACCAAUAAUGAGGUGACAUAUAGCAGUCAAAAGGUUAAAUCCUAAAAAAGCACUAGGGCGCUCUAAUUUGAAGCAUAAAACUCAAAGUGGCAGAUGAUUUUGUGAUGAGAAGCGCAAGGGCACUUCUGAGCGCAAACAAGACAAGCGCGAGGGCGCUUCGUAGGCACGAUGGUGGUUUUCGCAAUUAAUGCAAUGUCAAUAACUGUUAAGACAUCAACCAUCAAGUCAAAGCCACGUGUCUGAAGCUGUUGAAGCGCCAACGACUCUUUUUAAAAAGCGCAAGGGCGCUUGAGAAGCGCAGGGGCACUUUUCAUGACAACAUGCAACCUUUUGCUAAGUCACCUAAUUUGCAUUAAAUGAGUUUUGGACCUAUUAUAAUAUCUCCAAGAGGUAGGUAUGAAUAUAAAUACUUCUUAUAAAG
RNAcentral lists this long non-coding RNA (772 nucleotides) under Ricinus communis (castor bean). Its description in RNAcentral is "long non-coding RNA (RCOM_LNC001035)". Lineage: Eukaryota; Viridiplantae; Streptophyta; Magnoliopsida; Malpighiales; Euphorbiaceae. The record is from RNAcentral.